GUGCCAGCAGCCGCGGUAAUACGGAGGGAGCAAGCGUUACUCGGAAUUAUUGGGCGUAAAGGGCGCGUAGGCGAUUCAGUAAGUCUUAUGUGAAAGCCCAGAGCUUAACUCUGGAAGUGCACGAGAUACUGCUGAAAUUGAGUUCCGGAGAGGAAGGCAGAAUUCCCGGUGUAGCGGUGAAAUGCGUAGAUAUCGGGAGGAAUACCAGUGGCGAAGGCGGCCUUCUGGACGGAUACUGACGCUGAGGCGCGAAAGCCAGGGGAGCAAACGGGAUUAGAAACCCGCGUAGUCC
RNAcentral lists this ribosomal RNA (292 nucleotides) under uncultured bacterium. RNAcentral describes it as "partial 16S ribosomal RNA". It matches the Rfam family "Bacterial small subunit ribosomal RNA", at positions 505 to 796 of the family's 1533-position model. The record is from RNAcentral.